GGGCUUGGGGGUUAGAAGGGGACAAGGAGAUGCAGACUUUCAAAAAGCAGAAGGAAAGAUGAGUCAUGCAGAUAAUUUAAAACCUGCGAGAAAGAAGUUACUCUAAGUACUUAUGAGCAAAGGUUGUUAGUUUCAAUCCUUCUAUAGAAGCUAGGACAAAAAGGUAAAAGAAAGGGCCUCUCUAUUCAACAUGGGAUAGGUGGACCAGCAACAACUGCAUCACCAGGCAGCUUAUCAGAAAGGCCGAAUGUCAAGCCUCACCCCAGACCUACUGAAUCAGAAUCUGCAUUUUUAGCAAGAACCCCAGAUGGCAUGUAGUGUAGGCAAGUUAAAGUUGGAGAAACACUGAGAAUGAAAAGACUGCUGGAGCUGGCGUUGCUACCGAAAGUUUCACGGACAAGUUGGGUCUUGGACAAACCUUGAAUAUGGAUGUGCAGUGGACUCAGAAGUGCUGGGAUGGAAGAACUGGAGGGAGCCUCCAAGGCCCAUUUCAAAUGCUUCACACAUAGGAACUCAGGAGGACACAUCCACCCUGCCUGCCCUCUCCCCAGCAGAUCUCCCUGGGCUGUCUGAACCCAGGACAUGGCUCUGGUUAUCAGGCAUGAAGAAACAAUGAAGAGAGAAGGAGCGGGAUAUGGAGCCUCCAGGCCUGCCCAGUCAUAUGGAUCACCUGGGACUUGUUAAAACACAGAGUCCCAGUCUCCUCCCCUGAAAAUUCAGAUUCAGAGAGGUUUGGGGUGCAGCCUGUCCCUCUGGAUUUUUCUUGAGUACCCCAGGAGUCUCAUACCUUCAGGCAACAUUGCUUUAGGUCUUCAGUUCCUUGGACGAGACUGGUCACUGAACCUCCCAGGAGUCUCCAAGCCUGUUUUGAUGCCUGUCAGACUUCUCUCCAUGUGACUUCCACCGCAUCUUCAUGCUCCAAAGAUUGAAGAGACACGGCACAAGCCCAGGAAGACAAUGAGUGAGUGGAGGCGACUUUGAGAGAGGGCCUCUUAGCUCUAUAGAACCUACAAAACCAACCCACGCAAAGAAACUGGCCUGAGCUGCUAAGGUCAAGGCUUCAGACUACCAUUCCCUUCUGGCUGCACUCCAGAAGUGGGCCCAGGACUUCUGCAGGAGUUCCAAGGAAUAACCUCGGCUCACCACACCUUUCUUUCCCUUCCUGUUGGGGAAAACACUGCCCAGUAGUUGCCUUCGAGUGCUCCAUGACACUCUAGAUAACAGCAGCUACAGAAAAACAGGAACGAGAGGAAGAGGACGUGGAAGAUACCCUUCUGUGCUCCAGAAGCUCUGGAAGCUAGUUUGUUUGCUGUGAGAUUCACGGAGGCUUUAAAACAUUGAUCAGUGUGGGACUCCCCAAGGAGACCUGAUAGACGGGGCUUUCCAAACUUAUUUAACCACUUUUUCAAGAUGGUCUUGUGUAAAAUACUUCAGAACAGCCUUCACUAUGUCUAUGUUUUCUUAAAGAAGAUCCAUGGAAGACAUUUCUCUCCUUGAAUCCCGUGCCAAGAAUGGCCGUGUGUCUUCCAGGGAACUACCUUGCCUGAUUUUGUGAGUCCUGAGAGUCUGAAAAUAGAUGUGUUUUGCCCUUUUCAUUGGCUGCUCGACUGGGAGCCGGUUUGUUGGAGGGCUUCCAGCAAGUGUACUGAACGGUGGAGCACAUGCUCUGUGGCCUGACUCACUGCUGUCUGCUUGUUUUCCUCCAUUUUCUCAUCAAUUUAUUUGAAAUGUUUUUCUUGGCGCAUCUCUAUUUGGCCUUCCCAACUUCAGAGCUCACCGGGGAGUCAGCUGACAACUCUGUUGAGGCUGCACGGCAGCCCGGCUCCUCCCUCUUUCCCUUCCCUCCCACCAGAGUGAUCCCUAAGCACUCCUAAUAAACACCCUGCAG
This 1888-nucleotide long non-coding RNA is filed under the name Equus caballus (horse). RNAcentral's name for it is "lncRNA (ENSECAG00000050759.1)". Lineage: Eukaryota; Metazoa; Chordata; Mammalia; Perissodactyla; Equidae. The record is from RNAcentral.